This 54-nucleotide small nucleolar RNA is filed under the name Acidianus hospitalis W1. Its description in RNAcentral is "putative C/D box RNA". Lineage: Archaea; Thermoproteati; Thermoproteota; Thermoprotei; Sulfolobales; Sulfolobaceae. The record is from RNAcentral.
GUGAAUGAUGAAGGCUGGUAUUAACGACAUAAUGAGUUAAGACACCAAUACUGA